Molecule: long non-coding RNA, 164 nt
Organism: Mya arenaria
Lineage: Eukaryota; Metazoa; Mollusca; Bivalvia; Myida; Myidae
Exons: 3
Source: RefSeq, a predicted model, not a curated record
AUUUUGGAUGGAUAAACCUUUUUCCUAAUCAUUUAAAAGAUGACCAUUGUUGUGUCUGUGGUAAAGAUGAGGACCCUGUGAUAUGAUGGGAGAGUUGGAAAGCUAAAGAACAUUAAUGGCAAUCCCUGCUCAACCACAUGAUGUGGUGCACAAAAGGUUCGGUG